GUUCCCGGGGCUUACAAUCAA
Molecule: transfer RNA, 21 nt
Filed under: Columba junoniae (white-tailed laurel pigeon)
Lineage: Eukaryota; Metazoa; Chordata; Aves; Columbiformes; Columbidae
Description: partial transfer RNA-Phe
Source: RNAcentral